This 566-nucleotide ribosomal RNA is filed under the name Marinobacter sp. EGU895. RNAcentral's name for it is "bacterial SSU rRNA". It matches the Rfam family "Bacterial small subunit ribosomal RNA", at positions 52 to 604 of the family's 1533-position model. The record is from RNAcentral. Lineage: Bacteria; Pseudomonadati; Pseudomonadota; Gammaproteobacteria; Pseudomonadales; Marinobacteraceae.
UACAUUGCAAGUUCGAAGCGGUAACAGGGGAAGCUUGCUUCCCGCUGACGAGCGGCGGCACGUGGUGAGUAAUGCUUAGGAAUCUGCCCAGUAGUGGGGGAUAGCCCGGGGAAACCCGGAUUAAUACCGCAUACGUCCUACGGGAGAAAGCAGGGGAUCUUCGGACCUUGCGCUAUUGGAUGAGCCUAAGUCGGAUUAGCUAGUUGGUGGGGUAAAGGCCUACCAAGGCGACGAUCCGUAGCUGGUCUGAGAGGAUGAUCAGCCACAUCGGGACUGAGACACGGCCCGAACUCCUACGGGAGGCAGCAGUGGGGAAUAUUGGACAAUGGGGGCAACCCUGAUCCAGCCAUGCCGCGUGUGUGAAGAAGGCUUUCGGGUUGUAAAGCACUUUCAGUAGGGAGGAAAACCUUAUGGUUAAUACCCAUGAGGCUUGACGUUACCUACAGAAGAAGCACCGGCUAACUCCGUGCCAGCAGCCGCGGUAAUACGGAGGGUGCAAGCGUUAAUCGGAAUUACUGGGCGUAAAGCGCGCGUAGGUGGUUUGGUACCCGAGAUGUGUAAGCUCC